AUGCAAGUCGAACGUGAAAACGGGGCAACCCGCAAGUAGAGUGGCGGACGGGUGAGUAAUACAUCGGAACGUGUCCAGUAAUGGGGGAUAACCUAGCGAAAGUUAGGCUAAUACCGCAUACGAUCUGCGGAUGAAAGCGGGGGAUGCAGCACUAAAAGCUUUUGGCAGAGUACAGUCAAAGGCAAUCCAAGAGUUUUUGGUGCUGCACCUCGCGUUAUUGGAGCGGCUGAUGUCUGAUUAGCUAGUUGGUGAGGUAAUGGCUUACCAAGGCGACGAUCAGUAGCUGGUCUGAGAGGAUGAUCAGCCUCACUGGGACUGAGACACGGCCCAGACUCCUACGGGAGGCAGCAGUGGGGAAUAUUGGACAAUGGGCGCAAGCCUGAUCCAGCCAUGCCGCGUGGGUGAUGAAGGCCCUAGGGUUGUAAAGCCCUUUCGGCGGGGAAGAUAAUGACGGUACCCGCAUAAGAAGCCCCGGGCUACUUCGUG
Molecule: ribosomal RNA, 486 nt
Filed under: uncultured bacterium
Lineage: Bacteria
Description: bacterial SSU rRNA
Rfam family: Bacterial small subunit ribosomal RNA
Source: RNAcentral